UUAAAUCACUGUAGCUCUCCCAACUGGAAGAUAUUCCAUCUAGGAUCAUUCAUUUACUAGGUGGCUACCACAAGAGGUGGAGAAGAGGCAGCAACAUGCCGCCAGAAGAAAGCCAAAAAGCUAAGCCUGCAAAAAGGGGCAUGAAAAAGUUCCGAACCACCAGCCUUGUAAUCAGCUUGGCACGAGGCUGGCAACAGUGGGUAAGCGACCACAACACAAAGCAAGCCCAAGAGCCCCAGGGAUGGAUGCCUGGUUCAGAAUCACCACCAACUGAGCCACCAAAAGAAAGGCGAUCAUCAAGAUGGCCAGUUUCUACUCAGACACACCAAGAAAAGGGUAUGGAAAAAUCUUCAGGGAAGGAGAUGGUGUUUAAAGGGGAUGUAGUAAAAGAUUCAAGUGAAUCUGAUGAAGCUCUGAGAAAGCUUAACAUUAAAAGCAAGGAGGUAACCAAAACUGUUGUAAGUAAAGUCUAUGAAAAAGGAAAUGACAUUAGCCUCCUCAGUGAUAGAUAUGAGAAGGAUAAUGGAAGCACAGAGAUCUGCGGCUGCAAGGCGGAAUCAAGUCAUUUUGAUAAAAUUCUUAAGGACAAAAUGUCUCCUACAAGGAGGAGGAAGUGCUCAAAUCUGGUGACAGAGCUAACCAAGGGUUGGAAACAGAUGGAACAAGAGGACAAAUUCUCGGAGUUAGAGCUACACAAAUGUCGCAGUGACAGCAUGGAUACGGAGGACAGUGGAUAUGGGGGUGAGGCAGAAGACAGACUCCUGCAAGAAGACUGUGACCACAUUAUGAGGAUUAAACGACCGAUGCCAUCACUUGCUUGUAGGUUUACAGAAGAACCAAGCAGCAAGGCCCACAGGAAAUACAGUCCUGUUAAUACCCUGACGGGCAGAUGGCAAGAAUGGUCAGACCAGCAUAUGAUAACACAGAAGCUGAAUCCUUUCAGUGAGGAGUUUGACUAUGAACUGGCCCAGUCGACACGCCUGCACAAAGGAGAUAAGGGCUAUGGUCAUCCUAAAGAGGGUACGAAAACUGCUGAAAGGGCCAAGAGAGCAGAGAUUCACAUUCACCGGGAGAUAAGAGAUAUGUGCUUUAUCAUUGCAACAAUGGCUCAACCAAGGCGAGACGGCAAGAUCCAAGUCACCUUUGGGGAGCUCUUUGACAGAUAUGUACGGAUUUCAGACAAGGUUGUUGGGAUUCUCAUGAGAGCUAGGAAACAUGGGUUGGUGGACUUUGAAGGAGAAAUGCUAUGGCAAGGAAGGGAUGAUCAUGUUAUAAUUACGUUAUUGAAAUAAAUGCACAACAAACCCAUGAUGGUAAAAGUUAAAAUGUCCCAGUUUUUCCAUUUCUGCCAGUUACUGCACCAUCUAAUAGUCAACAUUUUGAUUAUAGGAAUUUACCAUGACGUUGGAAAGAUACUUAACAUUUGUUCGAGAGUCAGAUGUUUUAUAAUUACUUCUAUGACACCAAGCAUUCUUUUGCUAUCCCUUUUGUAUUGUGCCUUCUAGUAACAGAAUUUGCAGCAUUAUAUAGUUAUUUACUACUCAGGCAAGGAUAGAUGAUGAAGAACUGGAGUGAAUAUAUGUAUUAAAAGCAUCAAAAUAAAUAUAAGAACAUAGUGGCAGAAGAGAUGGCUCCACCUCAAACCCAGCCCUGAGUUGUUUUCACAUACAAGAUUUCCCCCUCUCCCUAUAUUAACUAACGUAGAAGGGAUUUGGGGAGUUAAAGUGAGUUGGAUCAGGAACCAAGGAUAUGAACUUUAAUGUGUAGUUUAUAAAACUGACCCUUCAGACUUGUCCUGUAUUUCAUAAUUAAGUCAGCAAAACUAUUUAAGGGCAUGCAAAUAGAAUUUGAAUGUACGGAUAUCAGCAUUUACUACUAAGGCAUAGGAUAUACUACAGUUAUUCCCUAUUCUAAGUAUAGCAAAAUACUACUGCAGAAAUUAUGAUAUAGUGACUAACUGACAAAGGUUCAUGUUUUAAUGGAGACCCAUGUAUUUGUGAGUUUUUCCUUAUACUUCAUACACAAAGUAAGAUGAAACUGAUCUCUUAUACAAAGAGGGUUUUGUAUUUAAACUGUUCUAUGUUUAUAUUUUUAAAAAAGAAACAAAUGGAAUGGUGGCAUUCAUCCCCUAUAGAAAAAUACUGAACACCAGACUUAAAUGCAUAGAGAAUAUAGAAAUACAUGAGAAUUACUGCAUGAUACUAGUAUACAGAAAUGAUUUUCUAUUCCAUACAUCAAUACAUAUUUCCUGGGGGAACAAGUAGAGAGUAAGUGUAUGGCGCUAGACAUUUGUAAACAGCUUUGUUACAGAAAAAGUACAAGAUCAAGAUGCAGGAAUAGCAAUGGUAGAGAUGUUCUCCUGUAGAUAGAGCCUACUCUGUGAGUGAGGAAUAUAUGAGCAGUAUUUUUCCUAAGUAGAAAGAAUACAUCAUCUGUGAGAAAGCUGGUAUUUUAUAAAAUGUUCAACAAAAUAUGAGCUUAAUUCUACAAUUUGUAUUCAUAGUAGGUUGUUCCAGUGAAAUCAACUGCAUUAUUUCAAUGCGAUUAAAGACUGCAGAAUUAAGCAAUGUAUGUUUUAGAGAAAUGUUUAAAAUGGUUUUCUAUGCUGUACUAUAGUGUAGAUUUCUAUAUUGUAUAUAAUGCUUAUUGAAUUAUAUAGACAGUGGCUUCUCAAGAAGAUUAUGACUAUGUAAAUUUCUCACAUUGCACAGUAAGGGCAGAAUAAAAUGUUCAUUUAGGAGGAAAAAAAUUAAGGCAAACAAUUUACAUACAGUUACAAAUGAGAACCUGAAUGGUUUCCCUUAAGUUUCUUUCAAACUGAAAGAUCAAACAUCUUCUUGCAGAAGAAAAAGGUAUAUGUACAUUCUACCUUAAUUUGGUAAACCAAAGAAUUGUUAAGUUAGCAAUAAAAUACAACUAUUCUAGUUUCAACUUCCUACUAGGCAUAUUUUUUGUUUGCAAAUAAAACAGACCUCAAAUUUUUACAGGCAAAUAAUUCAAGAACCAAAUAACAAUAUGCUCCUAUAGUACAUCUUGUUCUAAAAAACACACUUGAACCUCAGUAACAUGGAUGUCCCUAAUCCAGGAACACUGUGGUACAGACCCUGGCAGCAGGAGGAGAAAGCGGCUCUGUGUGCUGCCACAGCCCUUCCUCCUCCAUUUGGAGGAAUGGCAGCACAGCACUUAUUUAGAAGCUUUUCCCCUGAUGUUUUGAUAGUGGUGGGGAGUGAUGUUUGGGAGCGGGAGGGGGUGAGGAGCCAUGUGUGCCCAGGAAGCAGGGCAGCAGGCAAGCACCCCACGCCCAUCCCCCUCACGCACUCUCCCUGCUUCCAGACUUCCCAACCUCAGCACACUCCUGCAUCCUCCCUCCCUCAGGCCUCAUAUGUAUUACUGUCUUUGUUACAUAUGAAAUAAAAAUUCAGAACUUUUCAAAAAUGAUUUUAUUUUCACCUUCAAAACAAAAAGUAUACAUGAACACUCAUGGUCCACAAAAUUCGAUAAUCCAACAAAGCCGAUUUCCCAAGACUGCCAGAUUAAAGAGUUUCAAGUGCAUUAACAUUGUAAGCAAGGUAAAUGUGCAGUUAGCUGUGAUAAAAAUAUAUCACAUUGCAGGUCUUAACCAAUGGUCUUUUUGUUUACAAUGUGACUACUUAUGCAAAUAAUAGCUGCAAAACUGAGUUCCAGAAUACUGCAUUUCAUGUCUGAAUAGUUAUCUGCAUAUACAGGUUUCUUGCAUUACCCUCCCUGGUUCUUCAUAGGAAUACCACAACAUCUAUUUAAUUAUAAAUCAUGUGUUUUGUCCUUUAAAAGGAUGUCCUAAUACAAUACCCGAAUGACAAGUAAAGUCUUACUUUGAGUACCCAGAGCUUGCUUGUUUUUUUCCUCACCACUACUUAGAAGAGACAUACUGUAUUUUCCGGCGUAUAGGGCGACUGGGCGUAUAAGACUACCCCUAUCUUUUUAAUUAAAAGAUAGGG
This is a non-coding RNA of Pelodiscus sinensis (Chinese soft-shelled turtle), 3977 nucleotides long. The record is from RefSeq and is a predicted model, not a curated record. NCBI's taxonomy places the organism in Eukaryota, Metazoa, Chordata, Testudines, Trionychidae.